AGGGCUGCAGCGUGCAGCCUGGAGCCUGCAGCCUGGAGCCUGGAGCCUGGAGCCUGGAGCCUGGAGCCCGCCUGGCGGGACAGGGAGCGGGACGGGGAGCCGAGAGCCGCGACAUUUCCAGCCCAGAACAAGCCCACAGACCUCUGCAGAAGUUGGCAGGCACAAGGUGGCAUUUAUUCUUCUGCAAACGGUCUCAUUUCUCCAGGGACCCCUCCUCUUUUAAAUGUGACCCAGGGAGGUUCUUUGGCUGGCCUAAUAAUUAAAUUGAUAUAAGACAGAAUAACAGAAAAAAAAAUGAACAAAAGUAUACAUGAAUGGGCAGCCCUGGUGGCUCAACGGUUUAGCGCUGCCUUCAGCCCAGGGCGAAAUCCUGGAGACUCAGGAUCGAGUCCCGUGUCGGGUUCCCUGCAUGGAGCCUGCUCCUCCCUCUGCCUCUCUCUUUCUGUGUCUCUCAU
Nyctereutes procyonoides (raccoon dog) is the source of this 455-nucleotide long non-coding RNA. RefSeq lists it as uncharacterized. NCBI's taxonomy places the organism in Eukaryota, Metazoa, Chordata, Mammalia, Carnivora, Canidae. The transcript has 3 exons. The record is from RefSeq and is a predicted model, not a curated record.